RNAcentral lists this ribosomal RNA (486 nucleotides) under uncultured bacterium. RNAcentral's name for it is "partial 16S ribosomal RNA". It matches the Rfam family "Bacterial small subunit ribosomal RNA", at positions 30 to 507 of the family's 1533-position model. The record is from RNAcentral.
AUUGAACGCUGGCGGCAUGCCUUACACAUGCAAGUCGAACGGCAGCACGGGUGCUUGCACCUGGUGGCGAGUGGCGAACGGGUGAGUAAUACAUCGGAACAUGUCCUGUAGUGGGGGAUAGCCCGGCGAAAGCCGGAUUAAUACCGCAUACGAUCUACGGAUGAAAGCGGGGGACCUUCGGGCCUCGCGCGAUAGGGUUGGCCGAUGGCUGAUUAGCUAGUUGGUGGGGUAAAGGCCUACCAAGGCGACGAUCAGUAGCUGGUCUGAGAGGACGACCAGCCACACUGGGACUGAGACACGGCCCAGACUCCUACGGGAGGCAGCAGUGGGGAAUUUUGGACAAUGGGCGAAAGCCUGAUCCAGCAAUGCCGCGUGUGUGAAGAAGGCCUUCGGGUUGUAAAGCACUUUUGUCCGGAAAGAAAUCCUUGGCCCUAAUAUGGUCGGGGGAUGACGGUACCGGAAGAAUAAGCACCGGCUAACUACGUG